This 142-nucleotide non-coding RNA is filed under the name Pseudonocardia sp. The record is from RNAcentral. Lineage: Bacteria; Bacillati; Actinomycetota; Actinomycetes; Pseudonocardiales; Pseudonocardiaceae.
AAGAGGGAACCCGGUGCGACUCCGGGACUGCCCCGCAGCGGUGAGUGGGAACGACCGCCGUCAUGAGCACUGGGAGCGAUCCCGGGAAGCGACGGCCAGUAGGACGUGCACCCGUGCACGACGCCCGCGAGUCCGAAGACCU